Molecule: ribosomal RNA, 492 nt
Filed under: uncultured bacterium
Lineage: Bacteria
Description: bacterial SSU rRNA
Rfam family: Bacterial small subunit ribosomal RNA
Source: RNAcentral
AAAGGAAUUGACGGGGGCCCGCACAAGCAGUGGAGUAUGUGGUUUAAUUCGAAGCAACGCGAAGAACCUUACCAGGGCUUGACAUCCCUCUGCCAGUCUUAGAGAUAAGAUUUUUCUUCGGAACAGAGGAGACAGGUGGUGCAUGGUUGUCGUCAGCUCGUGUCGUGAGAUGUUGGGUUAAGUCCCGCAACGAGCGCAACCCCUGUUGUUAGUUGCCAUCAUUAAGUUGGGCACUCUAACGAGACUGCCGGUGAUAAAUCGGAGGAAGGUGGGGACGACGUCAAAUCAUCAUGCCCCUUAUGUCCUGGGCUACACACGUACUACAAUGGCGGUUACAGAGGGAAGCAAAAUCGCGAGGUAGAGCAAAUCCCCAAAAACCGCCCCAGUUCAGAUUGCAGGCUGAAACUCGCCUGCAUGAAGUCGGAAUUGCUAGUAAUGGCAGGUCAGCAUACUGCCGUGAAUACGUUCCCGGGCCUUGUACACACCGCCCGU